This 440-nucleotide ribosomal RNA is filed under the name uncultured bacterium. Its description in RNAcentral is "partial 16S ribosomal RNA". It matches the Rfam family "Bacterial small subunit ribosomal RNA", at positions 338 to 795 of the family's 1533-position model. The record is from RNAcentral.
CCUACGGGCGGCUGCAGUGGGGGAUAUUGCACAAUGGGGGAAACCCUGAUGCAGCGACGCCGCGUGGGUGAAGAAGCGCCUCGGCGCGUAAAGCCCUGUCAGCAGGGAAGAAAAUGACGGUACCUGAAGAAGAAGCCCCGGCUAACUACGUGCCAGCAGCCGCGGUAAUACGUAGGGGGCAAGCGUUAUCCGGAUUUACUGGGUGUAAGGGGGGCGCAGACGGCGGUGCAAGCCAGGAGUGAAAGCCCGGGGCCCAACCCCGGGACUGCUCUUGGAACUGCGUGGCUGGAGUGCAGGAGGGGCAGGCGGAAUUCCUGGUGUAGCGGUGAAAUGCGUAGAUAUCAGGAGGAACACCGGCGGCGAAGGCGGCCUGCUGGACUGCAACUGACGUUGAGGCCCGAAGGCGUGGGGAGCAAACAGGAUUAGAUACCCCAGUAGUC